CCCUUAGAUGUUCUCGGCCGCACACGCGCUACACUGAAAGAGGCAACGUGUUUGCCUGAUUCGAAAGAAUUGGGUAACCCCCUAAUCUCUUUCGUGCUGGGGAUUGAGGUUUGCAAUUAUCCUUCAUGAACGAGGAAUUCCCAGUAAGUGCGAGUCAUUAUCUCGCGCUGACUACGUCCCUGCCCUUUGUACACACCGCCCGUCGCUACUACCGAUUGAAUGAUUUAGUGAGGACUUCGGACUGAGUCCAAUGCGGCUUUCGGGCUGCGUUGGUAUUUCGGAAAGAUGUCCAAACUGUAUCAUUUAGAGGAAGUAAAAGUCGUAACA
RNAcentral lists this ribosomal RNA (327 nucleotides) under uncultured eukaryote. RNAcentral describes it as "partial 18S ribosomal RNA". It matches the Rfam family "Eukaryotic small subunit ribosomal RNA", at positions 1470 to 1796 of the family's 1831-position model. The record is from RNAcentral.